GAUGAAAGCAUUCCGUCUCUUACUAACGUUCCUAGAAUCUCCUUUGCAACGGAGCCGCCACAGAUCUUCGGCGAGAAAAUUGGCGAGGUGCACAAAGUGCCUGAGGUGCCCGCUCUGGUCCCAGCGCUGGACUCCGACGGAGAGGACGAGGAAGUCGCCGAGGAUAUCACCGAAGAUGCAACGCACACGGAAGGCGACGAGAGCUUCGUGUCGGACCCCACCAGCGUGCCUGACGCCACGGCCACGGACGCCACCGACGAAGACGCGCAGGAGGGCGGAGAGGACUAAUCUCACACUCAUUGAU
Cydia strobilella is the source of this 304-nucleotide long non-coding RNA. RefSeq lists it as uncharacterized. NCBI's taxonomy places the organism in Eukaryota, Metazoa, Arthropoda, Insecta, Lepidoptera, Tortricidae. The record is from RefSeq and is a predicted model, not a curated record. The transcript is spliced from 3 exons.